GUGAGUAGUUCAGAGUUUGAUCCUGGCUCAGGAUGAACGCUGGCGGCGUGCCUAACACAUGCAAGUCGAACGAAGCAACUCAAAGUUUUCGGACAGAGAGUUGACUGAGUGGCGGACGGGUGAGUAACGCGUGGGUAACCUGCCUCAUACAGGGGGAUAACAGUUAGAAAUGACUGCUAAUACCGCAUAAGCGCACAGUACCGCAUGGUACAGUGUGAAAAGCCGAGACGGUAUGAGAUGGACCCGCGUCUGAUUAGCUAGUUGGUGGGGUAACGGCCCACCAAGGCGACGAUCAGUAGCCGGACUGAGAGGUUGAACGGCCACAUUGGAACUGAGAUACGGUCCAG
Molecule: ribosomal RNA, 347 nt
Filed under: uncultured bacterium
Lineage: Bacteria
Description: bacterial SSU rRNA
Rfam family: Bacterial small subunit ribosomal RNA
Source: RNAcentral